AGGAGCCAUAUGAGGUGGGAAUCUCAUGUAUGGUUUUGAAGUGGAGAUCAUUUAAAUGGAAUGAAUGACUGUAAAAGUCAUAUUGAUCUAGAAUCGGAUCCAAGAGACUGAUAGAGCUAAAAAAAACUCAAAAAUGAAAGUUCUUAGAAUUGCCUGAAAUCAAUUCCAUUGCGACCAUCUCGGCACGUUGAUUCCGACCAUAU
This is a non-coding RNA of Picea glauca (white spruce), 203 nucleotides long. Lineage: Eukaryota; Viridiplantae; Streptophyta; Pinopsida; Pinales; Pinaceae. The record is from Rfam.